Molecule: long non-coding RNA, 127 nt
Organism: Gavialis gangeticus (Gharial)
Lineage: Eukaryota; Metazoa; Chordata; Crocodylia; Gavialidae
Exons: 3
Source: RefSeq, a predicted model, not a curated record
GGGAUCUAUUGAAAAAAAAUGGGUGCAGGGACCCCUCUCCCACAUUUGCCAACCAAUCCUUAAUUUGGGGUUUGGCCAUUUCAGUGUUCUGCUCAGCAUUCCCUUUUUUGCACUGAAUGCAUCUCAU